GGAGGGGUCGCAUAGUGGCCUAGUGCGGCGGUUUGCUAAACCGCUAUACGGUUUAACAACUGUAUCGAGAGUUCAAAUCUCUCCCCCUCCG
RNAcentral lists this transfer RNA (91 nucleotides) under Elusimicrobiota bacterium. Its description in RNAcentral is "Elusimicrobia bacterium (hydrocarbon metagenome) tRNA-Ser". It matches the Rfam family "tRNA". Rfam says of the family: Transfer RNA (tRNA) molecules are approximately 80 nucleotides in length. Their secondary structure includes four short double-helical elements and three loops (D, anti-codon, and T loops). The record is from RNAcentral. Lineage: Bacteria; Pseudomonadati; Elusimicrobiota.